This 169-nucleotide ribosomal RNA is filed under the name uncultured bacterium. RNAcentral describes it as "partial 16S ribosomal RNA". It matches the Rfam family "Bacterial small subunit ribosomal RNA", at positions 338 to 524 of the family's 1533-position model. The record is from RNAcentral.
CCUACGGGAGGCAGCAGUGGGGAAUAUUGCACAAUGGGGGAAACCCUGAUGCAGCGACGCCGCGUGAGUGAAGCCGUAUUUCGGUAUGUAAAGCUCUAUCAGCAGGGAAGAUAAUGACGGUACCUGACUAAGAAGGGCCGGCUAACUACGUGCCAGCAGCCGCGGUAAU